Molecule: long non-coding RNA, 9107 nt
Organism: Gasterosteus aculeatus aculeatus (three-spined stickleback)
Lineage: Eukaryota; Metazoa; Chordata; Actinopteri; Perciformes; Gasterosteidae
Source: Ensembl
UUUUAUAUAAAUAUAUUUACCCUUUAAUAUAAUAUAUUUAUUCUAUGAUAUUUAUAAUAGUUACGAUAUUGUAGUUAUAUUGUUAAUAUAUAUAAAAUUGAUUAGAACAUGAAUCGUAUCGCACAUCGUAUGUGCACCUUCCUCUUCACACUGGUCUGUUGACUGAUUGUCUAGCUGAUCCAGCUGUUUUAUCUUUAGUUUCUCCGGCAAAGUUCUUCUCUCAUACCGAGUUUGGGUCGCGUCUUCUUGGGAGGACACUGUUCGUCGUCGCUCUUGUUAUGUUGUUAAACGGCGCAUCACGAGCCCAAAUCUCAAUAUAUUUUAGGACGCUGAAAUUAUAAUGUCACUCAUUAACUUCUAUCAGUGAUUGGCUAACUGCUUCUCUGUCCUCCUCUCCUUCCCUCACUCGGACUCUCAGGUGGUGACACGGAUCUCUGCCUGUCUCACUGUCUCUCUCAGUGGACGUCCGCUCACCAUCUAUAAAUCAACCCCGACAAGACUGAACAACUUCUCUUUCCGAGAAAAGGUUCUCCUACCCAGGACCUGACGGUAAACUUUGGCAACUCCGCGUUAACCCCCACUUUGCUAGGAACCUCAGUCUGACACUUGACACCAUUGCAGCGAGAAUACGAUCCUGUAGAUACUCGCUCUACAACGUCAGGAGAAUACGUCCUCUUCUCACUCAGCCCAGGUACUGAUUCAGGCUCUUGUCAUCUCACGCCUGGACUAUUGUAACUGUCUCCUGACAGGUCUCCCCGCCACCGCCACUCGACCUCUGCAGCUCAUCCAGAAUGCAGCAGCUCGACUGGUCUUAAACCUUCCUAAAAGUCUUGUCUGAGUGUGUGUGAGAGAGUAUGUGUUUGUCUGUUGGUGCAAUUUAGCCUUUAACCCAUUAAUGACUUGUAUCACACACUUUAAAUGUUCCAAGUCACCAAUACUAUUGGGUUAUUGAUGAUGUGAAGUCGUAAUGUUGGUAAGUCAUCACACAGACACACACACAUCAGACAUUUACAGUAGUGGUUGUGGUUGUUAAUGUGGCUUUAACAACAGCAGUAUAGUGUCAGUCUGUCGUGUGUCCCUUUCAAAUACACUAAUAAGGCCAUGAACACCAAACACACACGCUUUAAGAGUGCACUUGUUAUAAACCUCCCCGUUAUAUCACAAGCAUUUACUCACACACAGACACACACGCAUCCAUGAGUGUCAUCAAAGCUGCCUGGCCUUUAGAAUUAGCAGUUACGUCAUAAAUGUCAAUCAUGCAACGUGUAGUGGUCGUCACCAGUGAGCGUCGGUUACUGGAGGAGGGAGUUCUUGUCCCUUCGGCCCCGAAGCAUAUAUCUAUCAGGCUGCCGGCUCCUCUGGGGGCUGUUGAUUGCUCAGAGGAUGUAAAGAGGAAACGUGUCGUUAUGUUCACAGCUGGAGACCAGCCGAGCUACAUAAAGCUGGAUAUUCAUGUUGCUAAACCUUGAUUUUAAUGCUGCACAAUGUACAGUAUAUGUAUGUAUGUAUAUAUAUAUUUAAAUGAUCAAACAUAGGUCAACUUGUGGACCCGUACUAUCUAUAUUUUAGAUACCGCGAUGAAACCAAGUCAACUUUGCAGAGUAAAACUUUUACUCAAAAGUACUAUGGUAGCAAACAAAGCGAAUAAGCUCUCCUCCAAUGAGACCAAACAAACAAAUAAACAGAGCCUUAACACACACACACACACACACACAUAUAUUAAUGCACUCCUGCAGACCACAUGGGACCAAUUAUCACAUUUGCCAUGCUCGGUUUGCCAACCCCCGAUCUCUGCACUGACAGAGGGAGAGAGAGAAACAGUCGUCCCCUCAUUAGCCUGAGAGGGCAGAAUACCUCUUUCUGUGUGUGUGUGUGUGUGUGUGUGUGUUUAUUAAAACUAUAUGUCAUGCCUUCUGUAUUGUGUCCAUGUACUUCACAUUGUCUCUGACAAUGAUGGUGACCGGCAGGGAGCUGUAUGUUUGUUACACGCUCAUAUCAGAGACGUGGACGCUGUAUUUUUACUGUUUGAUUACGUAUUAUGUGGAUAGAUGAAACAGCUAAACUUUCCACAGUUCUAAUAUCCUGCCUGUCCAGUGUGUUUUUAAUCUUGGUCGGUCUCAAUCUAAUAAACCAAGUAUAAUAUUUGAUCCGCUUCUGUCUUGAUCAAUAUUGAAUACACUGAAUAAUUACAUAAAAUAUAAACUUCUGAAGCUUCAUGUCCAUAUUCUCUGUUCAUGUUAACUGACAAUGAACAAGUGGAAUGACAGCUGUGUCUGUGACUCCCUGUGGUGUGUGUGUGUGUGUGUGUGUGUGUGUGUGUGUGUGUGUGUGUGUGUGUGUGUGUGUGUGUGUGUCUGUGUGGGUGUGUGUGUGUGGGUGUGUGUGUGUGGGAGAGGGGAAUAUUUUUCACUUCUCUACUAGCGUGUAUGAGUUUUUGUGUGAACAAAAGCGGACUGCGCGUGUGUGUCAGUGUGUGAGUGUGUUCGGUAGGAGGUGUUUUACUGGAAGAAUCCACCUUCUGUGGCUGAGUCAUCCAGAUGAAGGUGAUGGAAUCUCCUUCACAUCUCUCUGCAAGACAAGUACACACACAGACACGAUCACAGUAGUCUACUGUAUGUCUCCUCAUGAUCCUCCCUUUCAUAUCUUUAUAGUUUUUAUACUUUAUGUUUUUCCAGUGGUGGAACAAAAGAGGUCUUACUGGUCCUUCAACCACAGACGAUGCCUCAUCACUGACAUCUGUUACACUGACACACACACGCUCACGCACAGUGUGCAACAGGGUGGUUAAAUAAUCGCUUACCCGUGACAUCAUCAAAGCUAAAUAGAAGUGCCCCGUUCGCCAAGUCAGUUUGUGUGUGUGUGUGUGUGUGUGUGUGUGAGGUCUGACCCCUGUUAGACCCAGUUAACACAUCUCUUGAUGUGAUGGUCAGCACUCCAUUCGGUAUCUGCUCUAGUCCUUCUGUGUGUCUGUCUGUGUGUGAGUUUGUUUGCGUGUGUGUUUUUGUGCGUGCGCUUGUUGCUCUGAUUGGACCCAACAGGCCGAUACACAGAAUAAGUCGUGCAGUAAGUUGUUUAAAAACCACAAUCGCAAAGCCAGAGACACAAGGUCUCCUCCUAAUAAAUAUAGUGGAUGGAUUCUGAAAUUUGAUCAUCAGGGUAGUUGAAACUAAAGGAGAACAGCAGAGAGAGAGGGUAGAGGAAAGGGAGGGGCUAGACGGGAGGAGGGCCGUCACAACUGGGAUCGGUUUAUUGCGAAGUAUGUUUGCACAUUUACCCUCCCUCUCCUCCUCAAUUCUCCCUCUCCUCUUCCAUUCUCCCUGUCCUCCCGCUACUCCCUCUACCCCUCCAUUCUUCCUUUCUCCUUCAUAUUCCCUCUCCUACUCCCACUCCGCUUCCAUUCUUCCGCUCCUCCUCUAUUCUAUCUCUCCUUCAUAUUCCUUUUCCUCCUCCUCCUCCUCCUCCUCCUCCUCCAUUGUAUCUCCUCUAUACUCCCUUUACCCCCUCUAUACUCCAUUCUCUCCAACUGUCUGACUUUAGUCCGAGUCCAUUUGAAGACAUUGACCAUAGGAUCUCCUUGGCGGCACAGCUAAACACAGAUGUCAUUUCAUCCACGCCUGGUGAGAAAAUGGAUGAUUGUGAAUGUGCAGUGCUAGAUAGGGUCAAUAAUGUCAAUAAUAAAUGACCAUUUUGAUUUGAAAUGACGACAAAUAAAGGGAGAGUAAUUACAAAAUAAUCAUACAUAUGUUCUAUUGGUAUUCCUAGCGAGCGUCUCUAUCACUCUCACGUCAAAUCUUGCUGAAACCACAGCAAAAAUAACUACCAAGCAUUCAAACAUAUAAAUCAUAAAUGGCUCUUACGUUUAACCUUUUUAACAAAAUCAUGAAAUGAAUCUGAAUGUGUCAGUUGGUCAAUUACGUUGUCCACUGAAACAACGCAAAUGAAAAGUUAAUUAGAAUCAUUGGAUACCCAAAUUCUCAGAUUCAACAGAAAUGAUCUAUAAUUAAACUCUGCGACAGGGGCCUGCGGUCUUUUUGGAACAGGACUUUCACCCAGGUGACGGUUGUUCAUGUCCUGUGUGAAAUUAAAAGUCAAUGCUGACUUAUUUUAAACUAUUCAGGUCAAACUGACUAACAAAUAUAUCCGUUUUAGCCCAAACCAUGAUUUUUUUCUUCCCCAAACCUAAACAAAUCCUUCUAAAGUUAAACUUUUUCCUGUGGUAGCAUCUCGUUAUGACACGUGGGGUGUUAAGAGGUCAUUUUACCUUAUAAUAAAUAAUAUACUCCUUUUUACUCGUCUUCACUCAGAAUGAGAAGCCAACUGUAUAGCUCCCGUAUGUUAGCAAGCUUAUUCCUAUUCUUAUCAAUAAUAAGAAUAAUGAAUGUAUCAAUGUAUCAAUGUAGCACCUUUCUAGAUCAAAGUGCUUGAAAAUAUUAAAGCAAUAAGGUACGAGAGGCUGUACUUUAUCGUCCAAUAAUGUAACAGUUCGGGGGUGUUGUUAGGCCCGACGCAGAGCGGAGGGGCAGUAACCCUCGAACAGUUACAUUAUUGAAGAUAAAGUACUGCCUCAAGUGCCUUAUUGCUUUUAUAAUACAGUUACCAGGGAAAUUAUAAUUAGUGAGUAAAUAGCUGCCUUUCAGCACAAAAUAGUAUCAGCCACCAAACGUUGCCUAUCGCAUUUCAGUAGUCUGGAGAAAAAAUAGUCCCCGUACGUGCACGUAAACCGCAUUGGGUCCCGCACCAUCUCAUUCAUUCAUAUCACUCAUGACGUCCACCUUAAUUGUCCGGUUGCGAAAGCUUGCAUUGCCCGAAACCGAUCAUUUGUGGGAUUUACGAACCAAUCAGAACGCUGGAUUUCAUCUACCCGUAUUAUAAAAACCAAUAAUGAAUACAUAAUGUAAGUAUGUGAUAUAGCCUAAACAGGAUACAGGCAACUACAUUCCAGAUUGAAAGGAUUCAUGAAGCUCAGAGCAGCAAACUGAAUGUGCCUUCUGCGAGGAACCCCAGUGAGCACAGAUGACUGGGGUGUGAUGACUCAGCGUUUAGCCCAACAAUGAUUUAGACAUGAAUAGAAUCCAGUUUUCUCCGUUUUGUUUGUUGAUGAAUUCAAAGGCCUCUUCAACUGUUGUAUUUUAGCAGCUGGUAAGAACACACACAUCGACGCACCCACUAACACACACACACACACAGGAGAAGGGGUCUAGACAUGAUGGGACUUGAUGUCGUGGGAGCUCUGUGGGAGGCAGAGGAGGACGAAGGAGAUGAAGGAAGGAGGGGGUAGAAAAAGUGCGGAAGAAGAGGAGCAGAAGAAAAAUAAGAUGAACUGUUGAGUCUAAUCGUCCAAUUUGAUUAAUAACCCAGCUUACAACACACACCUCCAAAAAAAGUGUAUAUUUUUUCCUAACGAGAAAGUAAAGAUACAGUGAUGCUCUGAUUGAUCACUGCCCACCCUGGUGGGCCCAAAAGGCUGAUGGGAAAGCCAUUCAUUUGGUCACAAAGCAAAAUAUUGGACACAUUUAGACCUGAUGAGGAGUCAGGGGGCCGGUAUUUCAAAAUGAUCCCACAGGAUUAAUCCUCCUGGAUUGGAUUAAAUCCUGAUCAGAUCCUAAAAACGGGUAUUUCAAAGCAAAUGUGAUCCUGAAGAUUCAGAUUCAGAUUUGGUAAUCCAACCCGCCUUUGAUCCGGAUAAAACACUGCUUGGAUUUGGACAUCCCAAUCUGCCGGUAUCAGGAUCACUCUGAUCCAACCCGGCAAAGUUUUGAAAUACCGGGAUAGAUCAAGUUGAUCCGUGGCUGAGGACAGGAUUUGGUUAUCCGGACCAUUCUGAUCUGGAUUACAAGUUUUGAAAUACCGGCCCCAGAGGAUCAUCAACUAGGAAAUGAAAUAAUAAUAAUCUUUGUCAUUACUCUUCCUCACAAUGAUAGCUGAUUCAGCCCCCUGUGUCGCUGUCUGACCCCAGCUGGACCCAGGAAGCUGCAGCUGGAGGUCAUGUUGUGUCUGGGAGGGGUCACAGGUCAGCAGGGAGCAGCCUCCCACUGAGCUCUCCCAGGACUUACAGUAGAACAUCCACCGGCCGUGUUCCCAACGCAGUCCUCAACUCUUUUCUCUUCGGAAAGACAGAAGGGAGUUCACAGUACGAGAUGUGACACCAACAAACCAGGUCCUUUCAUCCACUGUAUAGGAAAAAGGGAGGAAAACGUUUCUUUAACGUUCCAUGUUCUGCCAUGACAGAAACCUAAACCUCCCCAGGUGGAGAACAGCUGCCCUUCAUAUGUGUAUGUGUGUGUGGGUAGGUGUGUCGAGGUGGUGGUAGUAAAGUAAGGGAGGGGUAGAAGUGUGUCGGUGCAGGUGUCGGGGUGUAAAGAGGCGUGGACUAUGGGUCAGGUUGCCCCUUUGGGGCGUGUGUGUGUCUUUGCGCUCCAAUCAAAAAGGUGAUAACAGAUACUUAACCAGCAGGUGAUAAACCAUGAUCACACUCACACACUUGUGUGCCGAUACGUUCUCCCAGCUGGGUCUUCAAACCAGGUUCCCCUCUGGCAUAAGUUUUAGUGUCAUACGCUGUCCUUUCAAUAUAAAAUGUAUGUGUUCACAGGAAACAGUUUGGCAAGGUAAUAAGACUACUUGGGAAGUUCCAGGAAGCUUGUGGUUUAAAAAAGUAAAAAUAUCAAACAUGUGAUGCAAGUUAUUUAACUUUUGGUUUCACACUGGACCCAUCUUCUUGGUGAGGGUCCUGAAAGUCCUUGACCCAUCCACCCCGGACCCUCGGUAAUCCUGUUCAGGACUCCUCUCUUGGCCAUGAGAGGUGACCCCCGCUGAGAGGAAGAACUGUCAUCCACCUCUUUGUUUGAUCAAUGUCUCAUCCAGUAGAAGAGUCCUUCAGAUACUACCUCUGAAAGGCUGACAUUGGCGUAUGUGUGCGUGAAUGUGUGUGUGUGUGUGUGUGUGUGUGUGUGUGUGUGUGUGUGUGUGUGUGUGUGUGUGUGUGUGUGUGUGUGUGUGUGUGUGUGUGAAUGAGCGUUAGUGGACAUGUCCAACAGACUAUCGAGCAUAAUGACAGUUCAACAGUUCAACUAUCACUAACAAUCUCAGUGCUGGAGCUUUAUCACACACACGGAAUCCUGCUCACGGCGGUCUAACAGUCUGACCUGCAGUGAGUCUCUGUGAAGUUAAGGUGACUCACUGUCCAACCCUCUGAUACUCACACACGCACACACACCAAACCACUAACGCAUAUAAGGGCGCUCAAAAACACACACCGCAACGCCCUCUCUCCAUCCGUUUCUCUUGCUCUAACCACAGCUACUUCCUCGGUAAAACUGUUGGCUGAGGGGGGCAGGUGGUUAGUAUGAUUACACUCACACAACAAAACAUCCACAGAUGCAUGCUUACUACAAAGCGGAAGUGCCAGAUUAAUGCAAGAGUAAAUCAAUCUCUCCUGAGUGGCGCUCAAUGUCGGGGAAAGAAACUACUCCGGAGACAAAAAGUCAUCGACAAGGGAUUCAGAGAAGCACAUACCAAAACUGAAGAGAGAGGCAGAGUCACAAAGAGAUAAAGGAAGAUGUGGACGGUGACAGAGAGGAAGAGCGGAAGCAGAGAAGAAGUGUAAGCAAGUGAAGAGAGAGGAAGAGACGUCAAGUGGAUGUAGAAAGACGGAGAGAGUUUGGUGGAUUACUUUGCAUCUGAGUGACUGGUCGACUACAAACCCAAUUUUCUUACCACCUACCCAGGACCGUGACACCUCGGCUCGGGUAAGAGUACUACGCCUCUUCAUCUGUUGUGUGUGUUCUUUAAAGAACCUUCUUCUGUACUUGCUCUAUUACACACAAAUAGAACUUUCUGCUGUUGAAUGUGAUUCCCUAACACAGUGCUGACGUUGGACACCUCGUUGUCUGGUCACCCCCCUCCUCACUUUGUAAGGGGCAGAGGGGAAUCACAGAUGGAGCUGCGGAGCGUUUAACAAAGCCUGUCAACUGCCUGUUCGAAUUGAGGCACUGUGUCAAAGUAGUGUGGGCCCAUGAGAUAUUAGAGAAGAACAGAUUAUGUCGUGCCCUGUGUUAUUGUACUGUAUAUUUAAAUAUAAACUGGUACCAACUUUACACAGAACACAACAAAGUCCUCUAUUGGACACAUCUGUCCACCCCAAUCUCCCGGCUUUCUCUUCGCCUUGUUUUCCUGCAUGUUAGUUUAGUCUUUUUAAGAGCUUGUCAUUUCAUGUCUUUCUGCGAGAUCAGGCAAACUUUACCUCCAAAACAAAAUUUGCAUGUCACAGUGUUUGACAGACCACGUGGAAGGUGACCACUAUCUGCGUGCUACUUUUUACUUGUCCCUGUGGCUUGGUGUAUGCUGGACAAACUACAAGAGCUUUAGAGAUCUGCACAUCUGAACAUAAAACUGUAAUCUAUCCACGGCUCGUGUUCUGAGGAAGAGAAGAAAGAUCCUCCAUCCUUGAUUACUGGAAUGUCUCAUCUACUUUACGGCACUUGAAGGACGCAGUACUUCUACUUCCUGCACUUUUUGUUCUUUUACUGCUGUGUCUACCAUUCACAGAAAAUGUCGGCCAAUCACAGCUCAUUAUGGAUAGAGCAUGGUGUGAGUGCCUUCGAAAGCCCACUCACCGUAUUAUAUGUGUGCGAGAAAGCUAGGUGCUAGUUUAAGGUGCCAUGUUGUGAGGAGUAGUUAGCACGAUGGAACUCAUCCUGGAUGCAACGGUAUGCACUUAGUGAGCUCAGCUGCAGUAUCUAAAGUAUAAAAUGGAAAGCAAAGGAUUUGGAACGUGGCUACAGUCUGUCCCUCUGUCCUCUCUAUGCGCACCUUUCGCCAUUUCUUCAUCCCUGGACUGCCUCACCCAUUUAACCACCUGUUCCCUCUUCUCUAAUCAGCCUUGCGGUCACCUGACCCUCCCCUGCCACCUGCUCACUUGUCCCUACUCUCCCAUCAGUCCUCCAGCUCAAUUCAUGUUAACUGUACCUGCACGUAUGUCACCUUUACCUGCCUGCACUUUUGAUACUAAGUGAUACUGCCUUUUCCUCAGUCCAUGUUCGGCUACUAUUAUCUUCCUACAUGGCAAGCUAGCUACCUAGCUACGUUCAUUAAAUGUGGCGUCCUGGUCU